CCUAACACAUGCAAGUCGAACGGUAGAGUAGCAAUACUUGAGAGUGGCGAACGGGUGAGUAAUAUAUCGGAACGUGCCCAGUCGUGGGGGAUAACGUAGAGAAAUUUACGCUAAUACCGCAUACGAUCUAAGGAUGAAAGCGGGGGACCGUAAGGCCUCGCGCGAUUGGAGCGGCUGAUAUCAGAUUAGGUUGUUGGUGAGGUGAAAGCUCACCAAGCCGACGAUCUGUAGCUGGUUUGAGAGAACGACCAGCCACACUGGGACUGAGACACGGCCCAGACUCCUACGGGAGGCAGCAGUGGGGAAUUUUGGACAAUGGGCGAAAGCCUGAUCCAGCAAUGCCGCGUGCAGGAAGAAGGCCUUCGGGUUGUAAACUGCUUUUGUAC
RNAcentral lists this ribosomal RNA (386 nucleotides) under uncultured bacterium. RNAcentral's name for it is "bacterial SSU rRNA". It matches the Rfam family "Bacterial small subunit ribosomal RNA", at positions 47 to 441 of the family's 1533-position model. The record is from RNAcentral.